This is a long non-coding RNA of Drosophila innubila, 781 nucleotides long. RefSeq lists it as uncharacterized. The record is from RefSeq and is a predicted model, not a curated record. NCBI's taxonomy places the organism in Eukaryota, Metazoa, Arthropoda, Insecta, Diptera, Drosophilidae. The transcript has 2 exons.
CAUUUACCAUAUGCACAGAGAGUCGACUCCACCGGCUGCUCCAGCAGGCAAAUAAGAAUAUGCCAGCUCCGGCUCCGGCUGCGGCUCCGUCUCCGGUUUCAGCUCCAACUGGUCUUCUUUGUUGAGGUACGAGGGCUUGGCAAAAUACAAAGAAAAAAUAUAUUUUUGCAAACAAGCCAGGCAACUGGAUAGCUCGCCGACUCUGGCCAAAAUGAGAAACGCCGAAUUGAAAUACUUGCAAUAAACAUGAAAAAGGCAAGCAAACAACAACAACAACAAUAAUAAUAACAAUUCUGAGCUGGGCUAGGAAGCUUUGGAUGCUGUUGCUCCUUUGGCAGUUGCGUUUAUUGCAUUGACAGGCCAGUUGCCAGUUGCCUCCGGGUGGCACCCAGGAGCAAAACCGGAGCUGGAGCUGGAGCUGGAGCUGGAGCUCAACAAAAGGCGGCAGCAAGCGAACUGAGCUGGACUACAAGUUGAAAGAUGUUUUGUUCACGGCGGCAAACCAAAGGAAGCUGCAAUGGAUAGCACGGAAUGGGUCAAAAUCAUUUGUGCAAAGUUGGCUUGAACUAUACUAAGGGGACUGCAUAAAUGCAGAAUUUAUGAAGGUAGUUCGUAGAAGAACGGGACAAAAUCUUGAAUUAAUUGAGACAAGUUGUAGCUAGCAAAGAAGGUUGUAGCUUAAUUGUUUAGUAAAUAAUGAAAUAGAGCACAAUGUUCAAAAAAAAAAGAGCAAGCAGACAAGACAAGCUGUUAUUAUAAUGGAAUACCAAUUUUUAGCCAA